Molecule: long non-coding RNA, 1026 nt
Organism: Helicoverpa armigera (cotton bollworm)
Lineage: Eukaryota; Metazoa; Arthropoda; Insecta; Lepidoptera; Noctuidae
Exons: 3
Source: RefSeq, a predicted model, not a curated record
UAUGGAGAUAGUUGAUACCCUGCGGGCCUAGCAUGACCGCCAUAGAAACAGCUUUUGUCUACCGGAGAAUCGACAAAAUGACAGAUUGAAGAAAGAUUUCUAUCGACCCGAGCAUGGCGAUGUUUGACAUCGAGAAAAGAAAUGUUUCUUUUCUUCGUCGACAUGUGUCUAUCGCGUCGAGCAUGACGACUAUAUUUUCUCUACUUUUGACAUUUGGGAGUAGAUAUAACUUUCUAUAUGAAAUGUCAAAUACUCUACAUCUCAUCGGACCUAGACAAGAGUAGACAAGAAUAUUAUUAUAAUUUUAAGAUCUCAAAAAGCAUUUACAAAGUAUGUCGGGGUCCUACCGUCGUCAUGUGGUCAGUUUUUAUGCUGAGAAGAAUCAGUGUAAAGCUCAAAGAACGAGCUAUACGAGUGUUAAGCCUCUCGACAUUGAAAACGUAAAUGUGCAGAGAUGGUGCAGUAUUUGUGCGGAAUCUGUCUCCUAGGAUAUCUUAGGGUCUGCCUGUUCAUAUCAAUGUUCUUUGUUCGGGUCCUGCUUAGGUCAUUAACAACAUUACUGACCACUGUUAGCAAAUUUUUUAAGCAAUUUGUUUUUGCAGUGAAUACAAGGGGAUUCUAGUCAUGCGUUAGGGUCUUGACUCAUGACAUCAAUAAGAAUGCUGAUAAUGUGUCACUAUCAGUAUGUUAUUCUUUUAUUAUACUGUAAAAUAAUUCUUGUAAAAACUCUUUACCAAACAGUUAUUUCUUUUUGCAGGGUGCCUAUACUACAACUCUUCCCGAAGAAAGGCAGAAAGAGAGACACACUAAUGACCUUAGCGGUAGCUUACUACAAGCUGCAACUCACAGAAGAGCAACUAUUAUGAAUAUCUUUGUAUAUCAACAGUUCUUCAAACCAUACAGACAGAAUUGAGUUGCUGGGGAGUUUGUUCCACCGCUUCUGCUGCUGAUUUUCAGCCUAUUUUGAAUAAAUGACUUUAUCUGUAGCCUUAAUUUUAUGUAAAUAAACCUUUACCUCUGUGUAAA